RNAcentral lists this long non-coding RNA (260 nucleotides) under Sorghum bicolor (sorghum). RNAcentral describes it as "long non-coding RNA (SBIC_LNC012141)". Lineage: Eukaryota; Viridiplantae; Streptophyta; Magnoliopsida; Poales; Poaceae. The record is from RNAcentral.
UAUACAUGCUUAGGAUCGUAUAGCGUUUAUCCAUCGGAUCCAUGGGUAAAUGAUAGAUAUUGUGUAGGCGUGGUGCUUAUACCGUAUUUAUCUGCGAUUGUACCCAAUAUGCCAGAUCGUGGGGUAGUUCGUGAUAGUGACAGCUUCAUUGAUUCUUAUAUAGUCCCCUUCUCGUGUAUUGGGCUGGCAGAGCAACAUUAUUACAGGGGUGUGAUUGCUAUGUUUCUCAUAUUCCUUGCUAAUAUCACUAUGCAUGGGCG